UACGUAGGGGGCAAGCGUUGUCCGGAUUUACUGGGCGUAAAGCGUGCGCAGGCGGUUCGUUGUGUCGGCGGUGAAAGCCCCGGGCUCAACCUGGGAAUGGCCGUUGAAACUGGCGAACUGGAGUGUGGCAGAGGGGGUGGAAUUCCGCGUGUAGCAGUGAAAUGCGUAGAGAUGCGGAGGAACACCGAUGGCGAAGGCAGCCCCCUGGGCUGACACUGACGCUCAGGCACGAAAGCGUGGGGAGCAAACAGG
Molecule: ribosomal RNA, 252 nt
Filed under: uncultured bacterium
Lineage: Bacteria
Description: partial 16S ribosomal RNA
Rfam family: Bacterial small subunit ribosomal RNA
Source: RNAcentral